GACGAACGCUGGCGGCGUGCUUAACACAUGCAAGUCGAACGGAAAGGCCCUGCUUUUGUGGGGUGCUCGAGUGGCGAACGGGUGAGUAACACGUGAGUAUCCUGCCCUUGACUUUGGGAUAACUUCAGGAAACUGGGGCUAAUACCGGAUAGGAGCUCCUGCUGCAUGGUGGGGGUUGGAAAGUUUCGGAGGUUGGGGAUGGACUCGCGGGUUACCAGCUUGUUGGUGGGGGAGUGGCUUACCAAGGCUUUGGCGGGUAGCCGGCCUGAGAGGGGGACCGGGCACAUUGGGACUGAGAUACGGCCCAGACUCGUACGGGAGGCAGCAGUGGGGAAUAGUGCACGAUGGGCGGAAGCCUGAUGCAGCAACGCCGCGUGCGGGAUGACGGCGUUCGGGCUGUGAACCGCUUUCGCCUGUGACGAAGCGUGAGUGACGGUAAUGGGUAAAGAAGCACCGGCUAACUACGUG
RNAcentral lists this ribosomal RNA (468 nucleotides) under uncultured bacterium. Its description in RNAcentral is "partial 16S ribosomal RNA". It matches the Rfam family "Bacterial small subunit ribosomal RNA", at positions 28 to 507 of the family's 1533-position model. The record is from RNAcentral.